RNAcentral lists this ribosomal RNA (446 nucleotides) under uncultured soil bacterium. RNAcentral's name for it is "bacterial SSU rRNA". It matches the Rfam family "Bacterial small subunit ribosomal RNA", at positions 26 to 518 of the family's 1533-position model. The record is from RNAcentral.
AGAACGAACGCUGGCGGCAUGCCUAAUACAUGCAAGUCGAACGAACACUUCGGUGUUAGUGGCGCACGGGUGCGUAACGCGUGGGAAUCUGCCCUUGGGUUCGGAAUAACAGUUGGAAACGACUGCUAAUACCGGAUGAUAUCGAAAGAUCAAAGAUUUAUCGCCCAGGGAUGAGCCCGCGUAGGAUUAGCUAGUUGGUGAGGUAAAGGCUCACCAAGGCGACGAUCCUUAGCUGGUCUGAGAGGAUGAUCAGCCACACUGGGACUGAGACACGGCCCAGACUCCUACGGGAGGCAGCGGUAGGGAAUAUGGACAAUGGGCGCAAGCCUGAUCCAGCAAUGCCGCGUGAGUGAUGAAGGCCUUAGGGUUGUAAAGCUCUUUUACCCGAGAUGAUAAUGACAGUAUCGGAGAAUAAGCCCCGGACUAACUCCGCGCCAGCAGCCGAC